Molecule: long non-coding RNA, 1176 nt
Organism: Cyprinus carpio (common carp)
Lineage: Eukaryota; Metazoa; Chordata; Actinopteri; Cypriniformes; Cyprinidae
Source: Ensembl
AGGAUACACUGCCCAUUGGCAGAUGUCACAAAAUGUUAGUUUCCAAGCCUGUGCACACAUGAAGUUACAUUAAAGCUUACGUAGACCACAUACAAUAAUACAAAUGUAUAUUUUUAUAUUAUGAAUAAUUACAGCAUUGCACAUAAAACAGUGUAGCUGCUGCAAGAAAACAAAGCUGCGUUAGCUUUACUUAAAGGAAAUGGAAACACUUUGUGGUUGAAGUGUCUGUGCUUUGCAUUGAGACCUGUAGUUUGAUCAACACCUUUACAAACGACAGACACAAUGGAGAAGGUCAUGUUCUUUUGUGCUGUUUCAUACAGAAUAAUUCAGAUCACUUCCAGCGAUGUUUCAGAACAUGAUGUGAGUAUUUUACGAGUCCGGCUGAAUGAAAGCAUCACUCUGAACUGCAGCAUGACAGACAGAUAUGAAAUCUCCUGGUAUCACCAGAAUCCUGAUUCUGGACGACUAACAUUACUGAUGUCUGCCAAAAGCAGCAGUGUAGCGGGAAGAAAACUGCUAGUUAGGUUCAAUCAAAACUGGAGUCGUCUGACAGUUCAUGCAGAUGUGGAGAUCAACACAGUCUCUCUAGUUAUUUCUGGAUUUACAGAGUCAGACUCAGGUCUUUAUUUCUGUGGAACUAAAUCAGUGGAAAUGCACUUCAACAAACCAAUCAGACUACAGAUCGAGGACAAGCUGACAGACAGAGAGGACAAAGUUCAUUCUGAUUUUGAGGAACAGAAAUAACAGAAAUGAACAGAAAUGAAGUUGGGAACAGAAAUAAUUCUCUUGUCUCAUUUUAUUUCAGGAAAUCUUCAAGUUCAUUAGUGUAUAUGUUAUAAGUUAUUUAGAUUUUAAUAAUCUAAAGAACCUUUUGUCCAAUAGAAAGAUUCUGUGGAUAUUAAAGAUUCUUCACAGAACUAUCAAAUCCAAGUAAAAACUUUUUUUAAGAGUGUAACUGUUUAUGUUACUGAAUUACAAAGCUCUAGAGGAGUUCAUGAGAAAGUACAAAUGUCAUCUGUUUUUUUAAUCAGCAGUAAAACUGAGAAAUCAUGUCACAGUCAUAUUUGUGAUGGACAAAUUAUAUAAAUUCUUUCUAAAUGUGAUGUAGACCAACAGUAAAAAAUACUGUCUGUCACUAUAAAUAAACAGAAACAGGCGUGAAUGAAUAAGUGUGUG